RNAcentral lists this long non-coding RNA (390 nucleotides) under Linum usitatissimum (flax). RNAcentral describes it as "long non-coding RNA (LUSI_LNC008259)". The record is from RNAcentral. Lineage: Eukaryota; Viridiplantae; Streptophyta; Magnoliopsida; Malpighiales; Linaceae.
GGGAUUGUCAACAUUGGAAGCCAUCCAUGUGUUCUGUGAUAUCUGACCACCAACAAACAUCAGGUGACUUGCGGCAGCUAAGGCGAAGUAGAGGUAUCCUUUGUUCUGACUCAGGUACUGAAUGUAAGGCUUGAAUCCUGUGUCCCCUACUUCCCUUUCUUCCUGCUUAAUCAGUUGAUCACCUUUGGCUACCACCUGAUUUUGUUGGUUUUCCACGUAAGUUUUCUUGAUCUCCUUGGAAGUUGAUGAUCCUUGUUUCUGUGCAGCAGUAACUUCAGCAAGCCUUUCGGACCCUCCAGCUGUUUCCUUAUGCGCGUUGACGAGAUCCUGAAACUCUUGGCUUGAUGCCAAUAACUCUUGGUAAGGAGCUGCUUGCAGGAUUUCUCCAUC